GACGAACGCUGGCGGCGUGCUUAACACAUGCAAGUCGAACGGAAAGGCCCUGCUUUUGUGGGGUGCUCGAGUGGCGAACGGGUGAGUAACACGUGAGUAACCUUCCCUUGACUUUGGGAUAACUUCAGGAAACUGGGGCUAAUACCGGAUAGGAGCUCCUGCUGCAUGGUGGGGGUUGGAAAGUUUCGGCGGUUGGGGAUGGACUCGCGGCUUAUCAGCUUGUUGGUGGGGUAGUGGCUUACCAAGGCUUUGACGGGUAGCCGGCCUGAGAGGGUGACCGGCCACAUUGGGACUGAGGGAGGGCCCAGACUCCUACGGGAGGCAGCAGUGGGGAAUAUUGCACAGUGGGCGGAAGCCUGAUGCAGAAACGCCGCGUGCGGGAUGACGGCCUUCGGGUUGUAAACCGCUUUCGCCUGUGACGAAGCGUGAGUGACGGUAAUGGGUAAAGAAGCACCGGCUAACUACGUG
RNAcentral lists this ribosomal RNA (468 nucleotides) under uncultured bacterium. RNAcentral's name for it is "partial 16S ribosomal RNA". It matches the Rfam family "Bacterial small subunit ribosomal RNA", at positions 28 to 507 of the family's 1533-position model. The record is from RNAcentral.